Molecule: transfer RNA, 85 nt
Filed under: Methanomassiliicoccales archaeon
Lineage: Archaea; Methanobacteriati; Thermoplasmatota; Thermoplasmata; Methanomassiliicoccales
Also listed under: 2 other names
Rfam family: tRNA
About the family: Transfer RNA (tRNA) molecules are approximately 80 nucleotides in length. Their secondary structure includes four short double-helical elements and three loops (D, anti-codon, and T loops).
Source: Rfam by way of RNAcentral
GCCGAAGUUGCCAAGCCUGGUCAAAGGCGACAGACUCAAGAUCUGUUCUCGUAGGAGUUCGCCGGUUCGAAUCCGGUCUUCGGCA